RNAcentral lists this ribosomal RNA (541 nucleotides) under uncultured Massilia sp. RNAcentral's name for it is "bacterial SSU rRNA". It matches the Rfam family "Bacterial small subunit ribosomal RNA", at positions 96 to 633 of the family's 1533-position model. The record is from RNAcentral. Lineage: Bacteria; Pseudomonadati; Pseudomonadota; Betaproteobacteria; Burkholderiales; Oxalobacteraceae.
UGGCGAACGGGUGAGUAAUAUAUCGGAACGUACCCAAGAGUGGGGGAUAACGUAGCGAAAGUUACGCUAAUACCGCGUACGAUCUAAGGAUGAAAGUGGGGGAUCGCAAGACCUCAUGCUCCUGGAGCGGCCGAUAUCUGAUUAGCUAGUUGGUAGGGUAAAGGCCUACCAAGGCUACGAUCAGUAGCUGGUCUGAGAGGACGACCAGCCACACUGGAACUGAGACACGGUCCAGACUCCUACGGGAGGCAGCAGUGGGGAAUUUUGGACAAUGGGCGCAAGCCUGAUCCAGCAAUGCCGCGUGAGUGAAGAAGGCCUUCGGGUUGUAAAGCUCUUUUGUCAGGGAAGAAACGGUUCGGGUUAAUACCUUGGGCUAAUGACGGUACCUGAAGAAUAAGCACCGGCUAACUACGUGCCAGCAGCCGCGGUAAUACGUAGGGUGCAAGCGUUAAUCGGAAUUACUGGGCGUAAAGCGUGCGCAGGCGGUUUUGUAAGUCUGUCGUGAAAGCCCCGGGCUCAACCUGGGAAUUGCGAUGGAGAC